This 373-nucleotide ribosomal RNA is filed under the name uncultured organism. RNAcentral describes it as "partial 16S ribosomal RNA". It matches the Rfam family "Bacterial small subunit ribosomal RNA", at positions 527 to 896 of the family's 1533-position model. The record is from RNAcentral.
GUAGGUGGCAAGCGUUGUCCGGAAUUAUUGGGCGUAAAGCGCGCGCAGACGGUUCUUUAAGUCUGAUGUGAAAGCCCACGGCUCAACCGUGGAGGGUCAUUGGAAACUGGAGAACUUGAGUACAGAAGAGGAAAGCGGAAUUCCACGUGUAGCGGUGAAAUGCGUAGAGAUGUGGAGGAACACCAGUGGCGAAGGCGGCUUUCUGGUCUGUAACUGACGCUGAGGCGCGAAAGCGUGGGGAGCAAACAGGAUUAGAUACCCUGGUAGUCCACGCCGUAAACGAUGAGUGCUAAGUGUUAGGGGGUUUUCCGCCCCCCUUAGUGCUGCAGCUAACGCAUUAAGCACUCCGCCUGGGAGUACGGCCGCAAGGCUG